Molecule: small nucleolar RNA, 137 nt
Filed under: Neogobius melanostomus (round goby)
Lineage: Eukaryota; Metazoa; Chordata; Actinopteri; Gobiiformes; Gobiidae
Description: Small nucleolar RNA SNORA57 (ENSNMLG00000016173.1)
Rfam family: Small nucleolar RNA SNORA57
About the family: U99 belongs to the H/ACA class of snoRNAs which are thought to guide the sites of modification of uridines to pseudouridines, the target for this family is unknown.
Source: Rfam by way of RNAcentral
CCUCCAUUUCUUGGCAUGCAUGCAGUUGUUCUGUACUCAUGUGUGUAAUGUACGGAGGAAAAUGAAAUGCAGUGCUAUGUCUUCGGUGCUGGUGUGUUUAAUGUCUGCCAGUUCUAUCCUCAAUCACUGCAACAUUU